AUUGAACGCUGGCGGCAGGCCUAACACAUGCAAGUCGAACGGUAGCACAGAGAGCUUGCUCUCGGGUGACGAGUGGCGGACGGGUGAGUAACGUCUGGGAAACUGCCCGAUGGAGGGGGAUAACUACUGGAAACGGUAGCUAAUACCGCAUAACGUCGCAAGACCAAAGUGGGGGACCUUCGGGCCUCACACCAUCGGAUGUGCCCAGCAGGGAUUAGCUAGGAGGUGGGGUAAUGGCUCACCUAGGCGACGAUCCCUAGCUGGGCUGAGAGGAUGACCAGCCACACUGGAACUGAAACACGAGCCAGACUCCUCCGGGAGGCAGCAGUGGGGAAUAUUGCACGAUGGGCGCAAGCCUGAUGCAGCCAUGCCGCGUGUAUGAAGAAGGCCUUCGGGUUGUAAAGUACUUUCAGCGGGGAGGAAGGCGGUGAAGUUAAUAGCUUAACCGAUUGACGUUACCCGCAGAAGAAGCACCGGCUAACUCCGUGCCAGCAGCCGCCGUAA
RNAcentral lists this ribosomal RNA (504 nucleotides) under uncultured bacterium. RNAcentral's name for it is "partial 16S ribosomal RNA". It matches the Rfam family "Bacterial small subunit ribosomal RNA", at positions 29 to 523 of the family's 1533-position model. The record is from RNAcentral.